Long non-coding RNA from Planococcus citri (citrus mealybug), 2653 nucleotides. RefSeq lists it as uncharacterized. The record is from RefSeq and is a predicted model, not a curated record. The transcript has 5 exons. NCBI's taxonomy places the organism in Eukaryota, Metazoa, Arthropoda, Insecta, Hemiptera, Pseudococcidae.
AUAAUGGAAUGAUUUCCUUGCCAUUGACAUAACACCCCAGAGAUCGAUAUUCUUUUUCUUGCCUAAGAUAAGUUGCUUCGGAUUCUUGCUUGAGGUCAUUUACACAUUUCAUGUUCACUGAUGAUUGAUCACAAACAGUAGCGAUCAGGUUUAAACCAAUAUCUUGAGCGUACCUUAUACUAUCUAAAACUUUGUUUUUCAACGUUACACUGUCCUUACUGCUCUCUACAAAAUAAUAAGACGUUGGCUGCUUCCAUUUCUUGCACACGCCACGCAGCAUGAAUGUGGUACAAUGGUCAGCAAAUUUUGGCUCCCUUCUGUCGCCAACAUCGACAAAGCCUAUUGUUUUAUCUCUCCUCUUAUCAUAGAACAAAUUCGGCUUGAUACUUAUUUCAUCAAAUAUCAAAGUACAAAGCUUGUUACGGUCAUGCAUCUUCUCAACACUGUGAGAAAGUACUUUACGAAUGCCUUCAUUGAGUCCUGGUUCAAAUGGAACUUUUCUCAGCACACAGUAUUCUAAUUCUCACAUUUCAAAAAGUGUUGGUAUUCCAUAAAUAAAUCAAAAACUAAGCGUCAUAGAAAAAUUGAAUGGCAAUGAGUCAAUUGGAAAUUCAAUUCUCUACAAUUCGCCCCCAUGUAAUUUUUUUGUAGAAUGCUUCGUUCCUCCUCCAGUAUGAUUUUUAUGAAACUCGGUUAGCAAAUUAUUGAAACAAAUGUUUUGAAAAAUUGGCAAACUCAGUUUCAUCAAAAUCAAUCUGGAGGAGGAACAAAGCAUUCUAUGGAAAAAUGAUAUUGAGGAGAAUUGCGGAGAAUUAAAUUUCCAAUGUACAUAAUGUCGUCAGUGUUUUUAUCUAGGACACUUAAUUUUCAAUGUAUUUAAAAAAUAUUACAGCUUUUCAAAAUGUAAACAUCAGCAUACUGACUUUCAGCCUCUAUGUGUUUUCAAAACAUAAAAAUGGACCAAAAAAAAAACAUUUCAAACAAAUACAUUUCACAAAAAAAUACAUUUCAAAAAAAAAAUACAUUUCACAAAAAAAUAAAAAACUUAAAAAAUAAGGACACAGCCAAAAAAUUACAUUACAGGUACAAAAGUUUGUAUGUAAUAAAUAAGCUAAUGUAAAACCAUCGUCUUACAUUAGCUUAGAUAUUACAUACGGAUUGCAAGCAAUCAAAGAUAAUUAGCUACGAGUAUGAAGAUCGUAGCUCUUUAAGCAAUCUACAAUCUUCAUACUCAUAGCUUCACAAUACAGGAACUUAAAAUUAAAAUGCGACCAACCGAUCGUUUAUCUUCUUAAAAAAAAAUAAAAAAAAACAUUACUAAAAUGAUCAGUCGAUCGCAAGGAACAAAACAAAAACUCCUUUAAAAAAACCUAUAUUCCUGGUCACGAUGACGAUGACGGCGAGGAGGCGACUCGUCCGACAAUUCCCCCUCAUCAUCCGCAUCGAUAUCCAGAGGUCUGAGGGGGAGUCGCCUCUGAUGAGCGACGUCUAACGAAUCCAUCCUGUAAAAACAAAAAGAAACAAAACUGAAAUGUCUGAUUUAAAAAAAAAAAAAUAAAUAAAUUUAAUUAAAUGAUUGAUUGAUUAUUGAAUGAAUAAAUGAAUAAAAAAUUGAACUUACAUCACCGGAGGCUCGUUGUUUUCGUUUUCAUUUCUUUGCCUGAGUCAUACCCCGAAUCGUUGCUUACACUUGAACUGUAAAAAAAUAUAUAUGUACCAAAUCAUUAGGUACCUAUAAAUAGUACAUAAUAUAUUAUGUUAUUUCGAAAAAGCUAUGUAUUUGUAAACUUACUCGAUGACAAUAAUGUUGUUUUCGUCAUCCAUUAUCUCUACUUGGUUCUGGUUAGCCAUAUUAAAUAAAAACGACUUAAAACAGUACAAAAUUAUAAAAUAGAAACGCAUACGCAAAAUUUAAAUCACGUUGAGGAAAUAUUUUCACCAAUGCCUUCGUUGUUUUAUAAUGCUUCUGCAGGUGGUUGUUCUUGGUUUUCGACGGGGUUUGCAGGAAGCUGUAACACUUCGGCGUUUUGUACUUGUGCAACCAUAGCGAUCUGGAGCAACGGAUUAGGAGGCUGUUGCGGCGGUGGCGACAGGCUAUUGAUGUAAUCCUCAGAGGUCCUCAUCACCCGCAGCAUCGCGACGACGACAUUGUAGUCCAACCAUUGGAACUCGUACUGCUCUUCCGCGACUGUAUACGUGUAUAAUUCCCAGAUCUGCGUCGUUGGGUUGCGCUGUCCAAUUGCUAAAACAUGGACUAGACAUGGAAGGAAACGAGAUUCAUAUCAUAAUGUGUUCCAAAGAGAAAGUGUCACCUGCAUAAUUGACGCCGAAUAAAAAGAAUAAAAACUGGAUUAGUAACCCCGAAAAUCGUGUUCUCUGUUCUGGUUCCGAAAAUCACGAAGAUGUGGAAAUGACGUUGAUGUUCGAUUACCCAGCUUUUUUCAAGGCGAUGGAAAUAUCAGUAGAAUAUGAAAAAUAUCGGGCGAUUGUUUUGCAUCUAGUUGACUGGAAGAUGUUUCAGAAACGGUUGAAGGAUUCGUUGGGAAUUAUCUCGAGACGGUUAUGAAAUUCAAAGCUGAGUUGUUAAUGGGUCGUCGUUGACAGCAGUAGCAGUUACGGUGUUCCUGGUUCCAGUAGCCGGUGGCCAAUGCAG